ACCCACGCUUUCGUUUUGCCUGGUUUGGUCGCGGAUUCGCGACAAAACCUAUCCUCUCUCCAAAAGGCAAAACUACACACAAAUACAUAUAAUACAUGUAUCUCCAGUUUUCUUGAAAUUCGUGCGUCAAACCUGAAAUCCGUCAGCGCCAAUGGUUCCAUGAUAGUCAAACCAUCGAAAACGAGCUAUUGGAUCACUACGAACGGAGUCCGAUACACGCCAAAAGCCAUCUCUACACCGUGGCCUCUCCGGAAAACUGGGUUACUAUUCACUUUAAGUGAAAACAGAAGAUUGCGUAAAAUCUCCUUUCUAACCUGUUUUCUCCCGAAACUUGACAAGUGCUUUUGUAAAUAAAAUAUACACAAAAAUAUAUUCAACAUAGAGUUUAGCUAUAUUGCCAAAAUCUCAGUCCUUACAGCUAUUUUUUUAAAUUAAGGACCCCAAACUCUUAUAUAGGGUUUAAAUAGCUAUUUUAAGGUUACUAUGUGUUUUGAGCGAGUUUUGGGCUCCUGAAAUUGGAAUUGUUUUUCUAAUCUGAAAAUUAAGUAUAAUAGUUGAAGUGAUGGAUUUGAAUAAGUCUAAGUCAUUUAAAAGUAAGAUAAAAUAAAAGAUUAAUAGAAAUAUUUAUUGUCUGUAUGUUAGAUAUUUCGGACACGUAUGUUGAAGCAACUAUGGCCGAAUAUUCCACGUCUUAGAUUGGUCUUUUCUUAUUUUGAGGUGGAAUCUAUGAUGAACCUUAGUGGUCUUUUUAGUAUCAUGCAUGCAUUUAUAUAUUACCAUUGAAUGUUCAUGAUUAUUGUUACAUGCUUAGUUAUUGUUCUAAAAACCCACACUCUCGUUGUUUACCUAUUCUUUGGUUUAUGAUGCAAUGAGAUUUGAUUAUAUGUUCUCGUAUGUCUCUUGU
RNAcentral lists this long non-coding RNA (904 nucleotides) under Ananas comosus (pineapple). RNAcentral's name for it is "long non-coding RNA (ACOM_LNC005618)". Lineage: Eukaryota; Viridiplantae; Streptophyta; Magnoliopsida; Poales; Bromeliaceae. The record is from RNAcentral.